UUAACUUAAUUUUGUAUGGAGUUGGAACAUUAGCCAAGGUUUCCCGCCAGGGGCGCUGUUCCAACUCCAUAAAAAAUUGAGUUA
Bombyx mori (domestic silkworm) is the source of this 84-nucleotide non-coding RNA. The record is from Rfam. NCBI's taxonomy places the organism in Eukaryota, Metazoa, Arthropoda, Insecta, Lepidoptera, Bombycidae.